AUAUUUAAAUAAAUUUAUAUCAUACACCCGCCUAUUUAGGCGGGCCUUAUCUAGUAUCAAUAUAAUUCGUGAAAAA
Molecule: small RNA, 76 nt
Filed under: Arabidopsis thaliana (thale cress)
Lineage: Eukaryota; Viridiplantae; Streptophyta; Magnoliopsida; Brassicales; Brassicaceae
Description: ATSL214120
Source: RNAcentral